RNAcentral lists this long non-coding RNA (1207 nucleotides) under Marmota monax (woodchuck). Lineage: Eukaryota; Metazoa; Chordata; Mammalia; Rodentia; Sciuridae. The record is from RNAcentral.
GCAGGUGUAACUCGGUGAGUUAAGAGGAGGCCACAUGGCCCAGCAGGGUGGAUCCCCAAGGCCAACAUGACCGGUGUCCCUACAGGAGGACGGGCAUGUGCAAUCAGGAGGCCGUGUGCCGUGGGGGCAGGGACUUGGAGCCGGGCCACUGCAAGCAGAGGACCCCCUGGGUGGUGGAAGCCGGAAAGGAGGUACUCGACCAAGAAGGGCUGUCUCCUGGAACCCAGAGAGAGCACAGCCCCUCCAACACCUUGGGUCAGACUUCUGUCCCCAGCACCGAGAGAGCGGACUCCUGGGUCUUAGGCCUCAGUUUGUGGCAAUGUGAUUCACCAGCCAGAGAACCCCCUCAGAGACCCAAACAGCAAGUUCCCACCACGAAGGACCAAGGACCCCCGGCACGGGCCUCGGGGUCUGCUGGUGAAGAACGCCGGCAGCCCCGGACCCCGUGGCCGCAGCCCCCUUUCUGGUUUCCGGGGCUCAGUGAUGUCCUCGGCUCUCCUGCCCACACCCUGCCCCAGGGUCCUGGCUUGUGAAGAGGAGAGACUCUCCUCCAACCAGGGCCCGUGUUUCUGCCUGGAGAAGAGCAUCUGAAACCCGCCUUCUCAGCAGGUGGACAGCUGGUGGGGAGCCUGGAGCUGUGGGGGGGGGCUCCAGGUCAUGGACAUGGCCCAGCCACGGCCUGACCUCCUUUCCUCCCACAUCUGCUUCCUCCUCUUGCGGGGUGCCAGAGGGCCCUCGUCCCACAGCCUCAGAAGGGACCACCAUGCACAGAGAUCAGACCUGUCACGUCACCGGCAGGGGUCCUGGCUAGGCAGCAGGAAGUGCCGCUGAGUGCUUUCCCGGGCAGGGGCAGGGCUGCACUGCCUGGGCCAGCAAAGGCUGACCCACGUGGAGGCCACGCCGUCUGUCCCUGCUUCACCGGCCAGCUGAAGAGCCUCUUCGUCCUCUCCUGCGGCUGGGUAAACGGUUGGCCGCCUGGGAAGCCCAGCCCCACUCCUGGAAACAGUCCCCAGGCUGAGACCCCAGGCCCUGCCGGGGCUGCAGCCUGGGUCUAGGCCAGGGGCCACCAGGCCAGGGGGCCCAGGUGAGCAGGGCCAUCCUGCCAGGGCAGGGACGGGGCAGGCCUAGAAGCAGGAGAGAUCUCCUGGAGGACCAGUCCCAGAGAGGGGGCCGUGGAGGCAGCCCAGGAGGGCAGGGUGGAGGUGGG